CGCGUACAAUGUGUUCCGUUCAGUUGACUCGAUGACGAGAGCAACCUACAGGUGGCGUCCCUGUUAGAGGUGGCGUCGAUGACGAGAGCAAAAGAGGGGAGUGUCGGCGAGGAGAGAGGGAGUCCGAGAAUCGGUGAGGAGAGGUACCGCGGAGGGGAAGGGAGCUGCAGCAGGCCGGGGAGGAGAAGGGCGGUGCCGCAACUGGCUGGGGAGGAGAGGGGUGGAGCUCGCUCGGGUGCGCGGGCGGCCAUAUCGUAGGACACAUCGGUCUAGGCCGGCCAGCCACGUCUUCCCAAGCGGCGAGAGGCAAGCACGGCCUAUGGGUCGACCGGGCAGGCCUACACCCGCCCUGCUGUAGCCCGUGUCGAAACGCCGCGCCGCUCCUUCUCUUUGCGGCGGGAGCAGCAACCGAGGCCAGAAGAUGGGUCGACUCGUGGCCUCGUAUCAGCGCGACGGCGCGCCAGCUAGACGUACUGCUCCGGUAAGGUCCGGCUAAGGCCACGCUUCCACACGUAUGGCAACGCGCCUCCCGCUGGUGUGGUCGCUGUGCUGGAAGACGAGUGGCAUAGCGACGUGUCGUACGGAUACCAUCUUAGUUUCAACUACUGGCCACACCAUACCUCGAUCUACUCUGACUGAACCGACAGACCGAAUUCAACCUCCGACGUUGCCUUCUCAAGUAAGUCUUUUUUUAUGUCCGAAAUUUCUACAAACACUCAAAGAUCAAGGUUCUAUAGUUCUCCUUCUGUUCAGAAGAUCUUAACAGUUUAGGGACAGUAAAAGUUCUAACUCAAGUAGUUUAAGUCCAUACGCUGCUACCCGUAAGACUCGAUUAGGGGACGAACCUAUCCUUAAACUAAUAGUCUGUUCCAACUUCUACCUAAAUUUUGACUACCUCGUAGUACUCGUAGUAACGGGAUGAAUACUCUCUGCGAAAUUAACGGACUAAGGUGGCGGUGUUCCGAUAUCCCCAAAGCGUCUUUUUCUUAUAGUUUGCCUUACUUUGGAAGCCCUUGCACUAAAAACCUUGCUUGUACUAAGUCUCCUGAACCUGGGAUGCAGUUCGUUAGUUGCUCCUCCCGUGCUCCAUCCUCCCGCGCGGAUGGGGGGACCGCGCGGGAGGUGGGAGCACCCGGGGGACAAUGAGGUGGCUGUAUGAGGAAGGAGGAUAUAUAUGGAUGCAUGGAGGUUUGAUGGUCUAUGCCUCGGUUUUGGGAUUAAGGUGGCGACAUUGAAAGACAUAAGUGCUCUAGGGUAGAACCCCGGAAAAGGCCUCGAGGCGGCCUCCCCCGUAGCUAGUGCCUCCCGAAGAUGUAGUUGUGGUAUCGGAGAGGCUACUUCACACUCAUCAAAUGAAGUCUGGAUGCCCAGGUAUCAAUAAUCGAUCUACCGAAGAAGAGAGAAAAACCUAGAGUUAUGUUUCAAGUGAGGUAGAGAACACCUCUAGAUAAGCUACAUUAGAUGAAAACGCCACACAAACAACUCUGGCUACUUAACACCCAAAUACUAGUUCAAAUAGA
Molecule: ribosomal RNA, 1520 nt
Filed under: Triticum aestivum (bread wheat)
Lineage: Eukaryota; Viridiplantae; Streptophyta; Magnoliopsida; Poales; Poaceae
Description: partial small subunit ribosomal RNA
Source: RNAcentral